This 244-nucleotide long non-coding RNA is filed under the name Ananas comosus (pineapple). RNAcentral describes it as "long non-coding RNA (ACOM_LNC034027)". Lineage: Eukaryota; Viridiplantae; Streptophyta; Magnoliopsida; Poales; Bromeliaceae. The record is from RNAcentral.
UGCUGUGUGACCUAUAAUUUUAUGAUUGAGUCUGCUGUCCGAAAAGAUGAUGUCUAAAUGUUAUAUGAUUGUGCAAUUCUGACUGGUAGUGGGCUGUAUUAUGCUGUGAAUGUUAUAUGCUUUGAAUGUUAUUUAAUUGUGAAUGUUAUAUGAUGAUGAAUGUUAUAUGCUGUAUUGGAUGUUGUCGAGUUGCUUGGAGAGCCAUGGGAGUUUGUCUAUAGAAACACUGAAUUUUUUUAUGAAU